Long non-coding RNA from Gossypium raimondii (Peruvian cotton), 518 nucleotides. RefSeq lists it as uncharacterized. The record is from RefSeq and is a predicted model, not a curated record. The transcript is spliced from 3 exons. NCBI's taxonomy places the organism in Eukaryota, Viridiplantae, Streptophyta, Magnoliopsida, Malvales, Malvaceae.
GAACUAUUUUCUUUCUCAGUAUUUUCUUUGUUUGAAAACCCCAAAUUCAUUUCUCCUUUCUUUCCUAGACUUUCUUUGCUUGAAACCCCAAAAUCCCGUCCCUUUUCUUUCUCAGUCUUUUCGUUGUUGGAAAACCCCAAAAUCCCGUCCCUUGUUCUUCUAUUUUAGCUGCUCCUCACAUUGAAGAAAAUAUCAGUCUCAAUCGACAUUGUCUCAGAUGUCAGAUGACUACAUGGAAGACCUCUGCUCAAAUAUCAAGGUUAGUGAUUAUCCUGAACGAGAUCCCUUUGAAGAGGAUGAGAUAUGAUGUCGUCGCGAAAGGGUACUGCUGCAUCAUUUGUUUCCAUGCAGAAUCAAUAACCUUACAGAGAUCGGCAAUGAUAUUUGAUUUUAUUUUUGGUAUUAUUGUAACAUAUUUGGCGUGGGACUGAUGUGUGAGAUACAAAACUCUUAGAGAGAUGAUACCUGAGCAAUAUUUUCCUAUAAUCUACUAUUAAUAUAUGAUUCUUGUGUCUAAA